RNAcentral lists this ribosomal RNA (515 nucleotides) under uncultured bacterium. RNAcentral's name for it is "bacterial SSU rRNA". It matches the Rfam family "Bacterial small subunit ribosomal RNA", at positions 8 to 518 of the family's 1533-position model. The record is from RNAcentral.
AGAGUUUGAUUCUGGCUCAGGAUGAACGCUAGCUACAGGCUUAACACAUGCAAGUCGAGGGGCAGCAUUGGAGUAGCAAUACUCAGAUGGCGACCGGCGCACGGGUGAGUAACACGUAUCCAACCUGCCGCUUACUCGGGGAUAGCCUUUCGAAAGAAAGAUUAAUACCCGAUGGUAUAAAGAGUUCGCAUGUUCUCUUUAUUAAAGAAUUUCGGUAAGCGAUGGGGAUGCGUUCCAUUAGAUAGUUGGCGGGGUAACGGCCCACCAGUCUACGAUGGAUAGGGUUCUGAGAGGAAGGUCCCCCACAUUGGAACUGAGACACGGUCCAAACUCCUACGGGAGGCAGCAGUGAGGAAUAUUGGUCAAUGGACGCGAGUCUGAACCAGCCAAGUAGCGUGAAGGAUGACUGCCCUAUGGGUUGUAAACUUCUUUUAUAAGGGAAUAAAGUGAGGGACGUGUCCCUUUUUGUAUGUACCUUAUGAAUAAGGAUCGGCUAACUCCGUGCCAGCAGCAGC